Molecule: long non-coding RNA, 400 nt
Filed under: Mus spicilegus (steppe mouse)
Lineage: Eukaryota; Metazoa; Chordata; Mammalia; Rodentia; Muridae
Description: lncRNA (ENSMSIG00000010402.1)
Source: RNAcentral
UGUCAGGAAGCAAAUGCGUAAAUAGCUAUGGCAACAAUGUUGUUGCUGCAUGAGCAGCUAACGCAAGUUAGCAGCUUCAAACAAUGCCUACUGAUGAACCCUGGAGGUCAGAACUCCGACGGGCUGAAGGCUGCUUGAGAGCCAGGCUCCUCAUUCCCACGUGUAGCUCCAGUGCUCACAGAGCGGCAAGGAGGACUCCUUACUACUUUGCUAAAAGGAGAUCAAUGGGCUUUAAAGCCCAGGAAGCAACUGGAGAGUGAAACUGGACAGAUGCUGUGACCUUGGGGACAUAAGUAAAAACAGAGGCAAUGGGGAAUGAGGGAAUGAGAGAAAUUCAUCAAGAUGCAAGCUCUUUAAAAAAAAAGUGGGGGCAGGUUGGGGGAUGCUAGGAAGCCAUGCU